This 376-nucleotide long non-coding RNA is filed under the name Apteryx owenii (little spotted kiwi). Its description in RNAcentral is "lncRNA (ENSAOWG00000019025.1)". Lineage: Eukaryota; Metazoa; Chordata; Aves; Apterygiformes; Apterygidae. The record is from RNAcentral.
CUGCCGUGUCCAUUUAGCUUGCAACCGUCCUCCCAAUGCCCGAAGGAACAGGAAAGGAUUCCGAAAACUCUAGCCUGCAUGGGAAGCCGCAGUACUAAUUGGGACCUGCAGACAUUGCAGGAGGAAGUCUGCCUCCCCGGCUGGUGCUCCUGAUGGGAUCGUUCGGUCAGUCUUGGCAAAAACAGCAGGGAAGAGUGAGCUGGGAGACCAGAGUUUGCCAGCGCUGUUGUUGAGACUGUUUCCUUGUGUAGCUGCUGUCAGCAUCCCUGUUCCAGCUGGAACUGGCCCCUGCACCAUCCACAGCUCCAGCCGCAUGUUCCAGAACUGUUGCUGCAAGCAGGUCUUUUUGCAGAGAGAAGAGUACAAGGCUCUUUGA